CUCAUCAUCCUCAUCAUCAUCAUCAUCCUCCUCUUCCUCUUCCUCUCAGGAGAGCGCGCUCUCUCCAGAUGCCUGAUGACCACUAAUCCAGCUUCCCUAUACUUCCCUAUAUACUGCAGUACUACGGUGGAGGAGAAGUUUCAUUACUGGAUACAAGACGUCUCCUGAAAAGUCUAUUGGUGCACCAGAUGUUUCAAGUUUCCACAUCACACUUGUUUUACGGUGCCAACGGCCAGAACGCUUUGGUCCCCAACCCCAAUGCCUUUCUGUUUCGGGCUGGUCUGGCUCCAGGAGGAGGCCCCUGGUCUCGCUUUUCCAGGUUUAAGGAGGAAAACACAGCCGCCGUGCCAGCUUCUCUCCGUGGAGAUCAAUCUGUUUACCACCAAAGACACACAGCCAGCAGAGAGAGAGAGAGAGAGAGAGAGAGAGAGAGAGAGAGAGAGAGAGAGACACUCAGGAAAUGAAAACUGCGGCACCACCUGGGGACUCCGAGCACCCCCCCACCAUCCUCAACAACAACCAGCUUUGGGUUUUGAUUUAUUCGAUUGAAGGACUCAAUCGACGACGUGUCCGAGCUGUACGGUCUCCAAACGUGGUGAUACUCGCUGCUGAUUGGAGCAGAGCGUUGUGACAUCAUCGGUGGAGGAGACGGUAGGUCUGCAGCUCUUUUACUCCACAGAGAGAGAAACUCUACAAACACCUGACAUGAAGCAG
Molecule: long non-coding RNA, 714 nt
Organism: Sebastes umbrosus (honeycomb rockfish)
Lineage: Eukaryota; Metazoa; Chordata; Actinopteri; Perciformes; Sebastidae
Exons: 6
Source: RefSeq, a predicted model, not a curated record